UAAUAAAUGACAUUGAAAAUCUAGAAUUAGAUAUACAUUAUAGUACAGAAAGAAUAAAUUAUUAUACACGAAUUUGUAACUCUGUAAUUACUACAGGAUAAAAUAAUUAAUGAAUAUAUCUUACGAAAAAAGUAAAUUAUUAAAAAAUAUUAAAACAAAAUAUCCACGCAUUAAUAAAAAUAGAUUCACUAGAAACCUACUAAAUCUAUUUAAUCUACCUAAUCCGCGCACCCCCUUACAAAUGGUAUCAGAGCACAGCAAAUUAAAGAGUACGGAAGAGAUAUAUAUGUUAGAGUGUAAU
RNAcentral lists this long non-coding RNA (301 nucleotides) under Capsicum annuum. RNAcentral's name for it is "long non-coding RNA (CANN_LNC022287)". The record is from RNAcentral. Lineage: Eukaryota; Viridiplantae; Streptophyta; Magnoliopsida; Solanales; Solanaceae.